ACCUGGAUCUGCAGGCCCUCUACUUUGCACUCAUGUCAGACUCCAUCGAAAAGUGGAUGAUGCCUCACAUCAGCAAAGGGGAUGCCCAAGGAGGGCCCACGGCUUGGAGAAGAGGGGCGGCAAGGAGGAGGACAUGCCAAGGGGAGGGGCACCCCACUAGCUCUCAUGCCUCUUUUUCUCUUUCUCUCUUUUCUCACUUUGAUUUCUAUGCAUCCAUAGGUAGAGACUCUCUCUAUUUAUAGAUGAUUCUUAUGACCUAAUAAGAAUAGGACUCCUAAUUCAAACAAGCUUUGAAUCAAUCUACAACUUAUCAAAGGAGGACUCCUACA
RNAcentral lists this long non-coding RNA (329 nucleotides) under Elaeis guineensis (African oil palm). RNAcentral describes it as "long non-coding RNA (EGUI_LNC047068)". The record is from RNAcentral. Lineage: Eukaryota; Viridiplantae; Streptophyta; Magnoliopsida; Arecales; Arecaceae.